Molecule: ribosomal RNA, 376 nt
Filed under: uncultured organism
Description: partial 16S ribosomal RNA
Rfam family: Bacterial small subunit ribosomal RNA
Source: RNAcentral
GUAGGUGGCAAGCGUUGUCCGGAAUUAUUGGGCGUAAAGCGCGCGCAGGCGGUCCUUUAAGUCUGAUGUGAAAGCCCACGGCUCGAACCGUGAGGGUCAUUGGAAACUGGGGACUUGAGUACAGAAGAGGAAAGCGGAAUUCCAAGUGUAGCGGUGAAAUGCGUAGAGAUUUGGAGGAACACCAGUGGCGAAGGCGGCUUUCUGGUCUGUAACUGACGCUGAGGCGCGAAAGCGUGGGGAGCAAACAGGAUUAGAUACCCUGGUAGUCCACGCCGUAAACGAUGAGUGCUAAGUGUUAGGGGGGUUUCCCGCCCCCCUUAGUGCUGCAGCUAACGCAUUAAGCACUCCGCCCUGGGGAGUACGGCCCGCAAGGCUG